RNAcentral lists this unclassified non-coding RNA (211 nucleotides) under fungal sp. RNAcentral describes it as "partial internal transcribed spacer region". The stretch from base 1 to 46 matches the Rfam family "Eukaryotic small subunit ribosomal RNA", at positions 1786 to 1831 of the family's 1831-position model. The record is from RNAcentral. Lineage: Eukaryota; Fungi.
AAGUCGUAACAAGGUCUCCGUUGGUGAACCAGCGGAGGGAUCAUUAAAGAGUUGCAAAACUCCAAACCAUUGUGAACCUUACCGCUACUACCGUUGCUUCGGCGGGUCCGCCCGCCGAAGGAACAAACCCCAAACUCUUGAACACACUGUCUCUCUGAGUUCCAAAAGAUCAAAAUUGUCAAAACUUUCAACAACGGAUCUCUUGGUUCUG